GACGAACGCUGGCGGCGGGCCUAACACAUGCAAGUCGAACGGAAAGGCCCGGCUUUUGUGGGGAGCUCGGGUGGCGAACGGGUGAGUAACACGUGAGUAAGCUGCCCUUGACUUUGGGAUAACUUCAGAAAACUGGGGCCAAUACGGGGUAGGAGCUCCUGCCGCAUGGGGGGGGUUGGAAAGUUUCGGCGGUUGGGGAUGGACCCGCGGCUUAUCAGAUUGUUGGGGGGGUAGUGGCUUAGCAAGGCCUUGACGCGUAGCCGGGCUGGGAGGGUGACCUGCCACGUUGGGCCUGGGAUACGGCCCAGACUCCACCGGGACGCGGCGGUGGAGUGGAGUGCACAGUGGGCGGAACCCUGAUGCAGCAACGCCGCGCGCGGGAUGACGGCCUUCGGGUUGUAUACCGCUUUUGUCUGUGCCGAAGCGUGAGUGACGGUAAUGGGUAAAGAAGCACCGGCUAACUACGUG
This 468-nucleotide ribosomal RNA is filed under the name uncultured bacterium. RNAcentral's name for it is "partial 16S ribosomal RNA". It matches the Rfam family "Bacterial small subunit ribosomal RNA", at positions 28 to 507 of the family's 1533-position model. The record is from RNAcentral.